GUCUACAGGCAUACCACCCUGAAUGCUCCCAAUCUUGUCUGAUUUCAGAAGCUAAGCAGGGUUGGGCUUGGUUAGUACUUGGAAGGAAAAAAACAACAAGAAAAGAAUUGGCCAUUGAGCUU
This is a non-coding RNA of Heterocephalus glaber (naked mole-rat), 122 nucleotides long. Lineage: Eukaryota; Metazoa; Chordata; Mammalia; Rodentia; Bathyergidae. The record is from Rfam.